GGUCUGCACAAAAAAGCUAAUGUCAACAAUAACAAUUUAAUAUCAAAAACCUUAAUAUAACAAUAUUAGACAGAACUUUCAAUACAUUUAGAUAAUCAAAUAGUCACAGAGUUAUAACUCUAUUACUAACCGUACAUUGAAAUAAGUCCCGCCUCCCUACUAACCUACUAUGUACUAUACACGGUCUCCACGCCGACGCCUUUUAACAAAUCAUAUUCCUAGAAAUGAAUAGUAGGUUCGAUAAAUUCUAUUAUUGAGUAUACGUGGAUGUGCCAAAAAGAUCGUUCAUAAUUUUUUGAGUUUUAUAUAGAAUUACUCUUCUUUUUAAUGACACUCUAU
Molecule: long non-coding RNA, 339 nt
Filed under: Mytilus galloprovincialis (Mediterranean mussel)
Lineage: Eukaryota; Metazoa; Mollusca; Bivalvia; Mytilida; Mytilidae
Source: RNAcentral